AACCCUUGCAUUGGGACCGGUGAGCUUGUCCCUUGAUUUUAAUGGCCUUUUCCUUCGCAAUACUUAUUAGUAUUUUAAUUAGCCUUUACUGUGAAUGUAGCUCUCAAAUGCAUAUUGUCAUUCUUUCUGUCUUCUCUCUCUGAUAUUUCAGAACGAUUAUUCCAGAAAUCUGACGUAUAUCCUUUAGAAUAUCUGUCACUGAUAUUGUUAAAAACGCCAUAUUGACACGGCGGGUGUGAAGUCUUGACAGGCCUAGCAACAGUAACCUAGGGAGUAGAGGCUUAGCAAAGGGUGAAUUCACCAUAUACAAUAAUUAUAUGAUUAUUAUAUGAUUAAAAUAAAAUAACCUGACUAAAUACCUGAACACCUGAUGAGAGACAGUACAUUCUACAAAAAAACAACCAACUCCAUUUUCAACAAACAUUUUCACAAUAACAACAUUAAAUUGUUUUGUUUUUUACAACGUGUAGCUCUUGAACUGCACGUCUUCAUAUCCUGGAUUAAAAAAGUGCCCUUAAAUUCCCAACGCAGCCACCUUUACCAAAUCACCAUGCGACUGCUGCUUCAUUGUGUUCAUAAUUGUAAUCCCUUGGACCGAUGAAAGGGGCGAACUGCGCUGGUUAAUUAAAACUGCAAUCAAAUUUACCCCCUUAAACUGGCUGCAAAAAGGGACCUCAUUCAAUUAAAUCAUGCGUCACUUUUCCUUUCAAUAACACACAAACAAACAAGUGAGGGGGAUGGAGUCGCGUAAAUCCACGUGCGUGCUGAUUGCCUUCUACUGUUGGGAUUUUCUUUAAUUUGGUAAACAGUGGCUGAGGUGGCGUUUGAGGUGCCGUGGAGGAGAGUUCUGCGGAGCAAAGGGGAUUAAAGACCCUUCCACUGGCCUUCUAUUGGCACUUGUCAUGCACUUAAUUUGAUGCUGUAAUUAACUUUUGAAAUCUCAAGGCGUUUUUGCAGCAUGUGUACACAGGAUGCUUUGCAGAUAAAUGCAGAGCGGGGGCUUGAUAGGACGAAGUAGCUGACGGCUGCAGAAAGCAUUUCCUGUUUAUCUCUUCCCACUACAAAGCCUCACUUUGCACACCAGAUGUUGUCCACCUGCUACUUGGUAUCUGCCUGCUUGACUGAGAGAAUAUAAAACAGUCAAGGACCUACUUGGAAGCAGUCAAGGGUAUAAGCUUUGAUGUAUGCAUGAGGGAGGAUUUCCUGAAGACCAAAGAGGCCAUUACCCAGGGGCCAUUAGGCCUCUAGUAGAGCAUGUCAAUGAGUGCUGAGUCUUGCUCUGUUUUCACAUGCAGCCACUUUACUCUAUGGACUAAGAGCGAGGGGAGUGAGUCAUCAUCAAUCAGCAUGAAACGCUCUGACAUUUGAGCAUGAAAGUCCCAGAGUGCCUUGCGGCCCAACAUCGCUGGGUGCAAACGUGUCACCCCUACCGUGCCCUCCAGUUGGAGAUCAGAGAACAAACAGCAGUGCAGGAAAAGCCCUGGUUCCUGUUCAUAAUCCUGAGUUUGAGGAGGAGGAGGACACUGGAGAGUGGACAUGAGGAGGAGGAAGAAGAGGAAGAGGAGGUGGCCUGAUGUCUGUCUGUCUGUCUGUCGCACAAGAAUAGAAGGACCGCUUGUGACCAACAGCUGAGUCAAGUGCCACAUGAUGAGGCUGGAUAUAUACAGGACGUCAGGUGAUUGGACCUU
Molecule: long non-coding RNA, 1688 nt
Organism: Sebastes umbrosus (honeycomb rockfish)
Lineage: Eukaryota; Metazoa; Chordata; Actinopteri; Perciformes; Sebastidae
Exons: 6
Source: RefSeq, a predicted model, not a curated record